Long non-coding RNA from Ruditapes philippinarum (Manila clam), 339 nucleotides. RefSeq lists it as uncharacterized. The transcript is spliced from 3 exons. The record is from RefSeq and is a predicted model, not a curated record. NCBI's taxonomy places the organism in Eukaryota, Metazoa, Mollusca, Bivalvia, Venerida, Veneridae.
AAGUUGGAGGUAGAAUUCAUACGAUCAGAAAAGGUUUUGCACCAGGUCUUUACGGUGAAGGUGGCGCAAUGAGACUCCCCUAUAACCACUUUCUAACAAGGCACUAUAUAAAACUGUUCCAUAUCGACAUUAUACCAUUUCAAAAUUUCAACGAAAAUGCCUUUAUUACUGUUAACGGAGACCCGCCUAUAAAGAUAUCAGAGUGGUUAGAACAUGAAGACACAUACUGUAGUAAAUAUUGGCCAGGAUGGGACACCUAGCUGAAGAAGACAGAGGGAUUAAAACAGAGACUUAAGAUAAAUGGAAUUAGUAAGUAGAAAUGAAGUUACAGUAAACACU